This is a long non-coding RNA of Tupaia belangeri chinensis (Chinese tree shrew), 988 nucleotides long. RefSeq lists it as uncharacterized. The record is from RefSeq and is a predicted model, not a curated record. The transcript has 3 exons. Lineage: Eukaryota; Metazoa; Chordata; Mammalia; Scandentia; Tupaiidae.
AAAAAUUUUCAGGCAUCAACAAAAGUAAUUUCGCUGGACCUUUUCGCUUCCGAGUGGAUCAAAGAUGCUGACGGAAUAGGAGGAGGCAAUCGAAACGACCCUGACUGAUACAGUGGCUGGAAGGCCGCACUUCUUUGCCGGUUGCAGACCGCUUGGCGGACACUGGCGGGCUGAGCCCGGGGGGUGGAGCCCGGGACCGCAGAGGUGCGCUGCAGGCGCUCCGGAAAGGCUGGACUGGACCAAGGGCUUUCCUCUCGCGAGAGGCGGAAGGCCCGUAAAAUGUGGCCACGGCCCUUUCCACUAAUCGCAAAAGCUGUGGCUUGAAAUAGAAAGUAAAACAAGUUAGAAAGAAAGGAAAAAAGGCUUGUAAGUUUGCGUUGCCUUGCCACACGCAGUCCGACCCUGUUCUAACCACUUGUCCUGUGACUGGCACUGCUGUUGCUGAGGACAGACGAUGAAUAAUGCCUGUUCACAAGGGAAGCCUACAGGCCAAACUGGAAAACUGCAAGUUCCCCAUACAGAAGGAUGAUAACUUUGUCUUCUGCACCUCCCAACCUGACCAAAUGGUGAGCAGAGUUAUUUCUUGGAUGUGAAAAGGGCUGUGGACCAUCUUGAAAAGCCAAAGGAAGGUCCUAUUUCCAAGUCCCAAAGGCCUCCUGGCAGAUUUUCCCACUGGCCUGGCUGCAAGUGCCUAAAUCCAUUGUAAAAACUGUGUCUUCAUGGAGAUGUUGACCAAGUUUUGAGCGCUCUGUACUCCGGUAUUGCAGUCAAGGGCUGGAAAAGGCAGGAGAAAGAAAUCAAAGCAGGAACUGGAUUGUACAUCAGACUUGAUCUUUUAAAUCCCAAGCACCCAGACUAUUAUAAAAGUGUGAAGGCUGAGUGGGGGAAGGAGAACACUGUUGCCACAAGGAGGACCAGAAACAAAGACAAUCGUAUUCCCUCCCCCUCCCCACUCCUGCCAACCAUGCCCUGUUCCGGUUGCAUUUCU